CCGAUGGCGACCGGCGCACGGGUGAGUAACACGUAUCCAACCUGCCGUCUACUCUUGGACAGCCUUCUGAAAGGAAGAUUAAUACAAGAUGGCAUCAUGAGUCCGCAUGUUCACAUGAUUAAAGGUAUUCCGGUAGACGAUGGGGAUGCGUUCCAUUAGAUAGUAGGCGGGGUAACGGCCCACCUAGUCUUCGAUGGAUAGGGGUUCUGAGAGGAAGGUCCCCCACAUUGGAACUGAGACACGGUCCAAACUCCUACGGGAGGCAGCAGUGAGGAAUAUUGGUCAAUGGGCGAGAGCCUGAACCAGCCAAGUAGCGUGAAGGAUGACUGCCCUAUGGGUUGUAAACUUCUUUUAUAAAGGAAUAAAGUCGGGUAUGGAUACCCGUUUGCAUGUACUUUAUGAAUAAGGAUCGGCUAACUCCGUGCCAGCAGCCGCGGUAAUACGGAGGAUCCGAGCGUUAUCCGGA
This 466-nucleotide ribosomal RNA is filed under the name uncultured bacterium. RNAcentral describes it as "bacterial SSU rRNA". It matches the Rfam family "Bacterial small subunit ribosomal RNA", at positions 85 to 549 of the family's 1533-position model. The record is from RNAcentral.